UACGUAGGGGGCGAGCGUUGUCCGGAUUUAUUGGGCGUAAAGAGCGUGUAGGCGGCCGAGCAGGUCCGUUGUGAAAACUGAAGGCUCAACCUUCAGAGGUCGAUGGAAACCGUUCGGCUAGAGUCCGGAAGAGGAGAGUGGAAUUCCUGGUGUAGCGGUGAAAUGCGCAGAUAUCAGGAAGAACACCCGUGGCGAAAGCGGCUCUCUGGGACGGUACUGACGCUGAGGCGCGAAAGCUUGGGGAGGGAACGGG
This 253-nucleotide ribosomal RNA is filed under the name uncultured bacterium. RNAcentral describes it as "partial 16S ribosomal RNA". It matches the Rfam family "Bacterial small subunit ribosomal RNA", at positions 524 to 776 of the family's 1533-position model. The record is from RNAcentral.